UGAUUGGAAGAUUCCAGUCCAGGUAUUGAUCUAUCCUCUUAUAAGUUCAACCAGAGUCUUCUAUCACAAAUUGCCUGUUGUACUUCAUAUCCUGCAUUUCGUUUUUUUGCUAGCAGUGAUUGAAUGUCUUAUCUUAUUUCUCGUGCUUUCUGUCCCUUUCAUAAUUGGCAAGUGUCUCGUCUAGGACAUCUGAUUGUGAACAAAUCAUCUAGACUUUGACAAAUUUUAUUUCCAGUAACUUCCACAUUUUCAAUUUUCGACUCAUUUCCAGCUUGUGUCCAGCCUCCACCCCUUCAUCUCAUUCUUUUUUGGAUAAAUUUCCAAAGAAUUUCCAGAAUCAUGCAGUCAUUAUUGGUAGGAAUUCAUUAUUGGUUCACUUUUGAGUUCCCACAUUCAUUUGAUGGUAUAAUAAUUGGUGAUACUAUCAAGUCCAUCAUCUUAAUGCAGUAGGCAGGUGGUGAGGAUGACAAUAGUCUGGGAAUAGGAUUAACUCUUUUUUAUAUGUAUUCAUUUUAGAUUAAGCAUAUAAUACAUAUAUGCAAUUGUAAUCAAUCACGCAGACUGAUAAAGUACUGAAGAAGUUCCAUAAUGUAGGUGAAGGGGUUUGUCACUAAAA
Molecule: unclassified non-coding RNA, 616 nt
Filed under: Hevea brasiliensis (rubber tree)
Lineage: Eukaryota; Viridiplantae; Streptophyta; Magnoliopsida; Malpighiales; Euphorbiaceae
Source: RNAcentral